This 381-nucleotide ribosomal RNA is filed under the name uncultured soil bacterium. RNAcentral describes it as "bacterial SSU rRNA". It matches the Rfam family "Bacterial small subunit ribosomal RNA", at positions 26 to 407 of the family's 1533-position model. The record is from RNAcentral.
AGGACGAACGCUGGCGGCGUGCUUAACACAUGCAAGUCGAGCGGUAAGGCCUUUCGGGGUACACGAGCGGCGAACGGGUGAGUAACACGUGGGUGAUCUGCCCUGCACUUCGGGAUAAGCCUGGGAAACUGGGUCUAAUACCGGAUAUGACCUCCUAUCGCAUGGUGGGUGGUGGAAAGAUUUAUCGGUGCAGGAUGGGCCCGCGGCCUAUCAGCUUGUUGGUGGGUAAUGGCCUACCAAGGCGACGACGGGUAGCCGACCGUGAGAGGGUGACCGGCACACGUGGACUGAGACACGGCCCAGACUCCUACGAGAGGCAGCAGGUGGGGAAUAGUUGCACGAAGUGGGACGAAAGCCUGAUGCAGCGACGCCGCGUCGAGG